GACGAACGCUGGCGGCGUGCUUAACACAUGCAAGUCGAACGGUGAAGCGCCUUCCUUUUUGGUGGGUGUGGAUGAGUGGCGAACGGGUGAGUAACACGUGAGUAACCUGCCCCCUUCUUCUGGAUAACCGCAUGAAAGUGUGGCUAAUACGGGAUAUUCUGGGUCUGUCGCAUGAUGGGUCUGGGAAAGAUAUUGUUUCGGUGGGGGAUGGGCUCGCGGCCUAUCAGCUUGUUGGUGGGGUGAUGGCCUACCAAGGCGGUGACGGGUAGCCGGCCUGAGAGGGUGGACGGUCACACUGGGACUGCGCCACGGCCCAGACUCCUACGGGAGGCAGCAGUGGGGAAUAUUGCACAAUGGGCGCAAGCCUGAUGCAGCGACGCCGCGUGAGGGAUGGAGGCCUUCGGGUUGUGAACCUCUUUCGCCAGUGAAGCAGGCCUGCCUCGUUUGUGGGUGGGUUGACGGUAGCUGGAUAAGAAGCGCCGGCUAACUACGUG
RNAcentral lists this ribosomal RNA (494 nucleotides) under uncultured bacterium. RNAcentral's name for it is "partial 16S ribosomal RNA". It matches the Rfam family "Bacterial small subunit ribosomal RNA", at positions 28 to 507 of the family's 1533-position model. The record is from RNAcentral.